RNAcentral lists this unclassified non-coding RNA (304 nucleotides) under Hevea brasiliensis (rubber tree). The record is from RNAcentral. Lineage: Eukaryota; Viridiplantae; Streptophyta; Magnoliopsida; Malpighiales; Euphorbiaceae.
CUUGAAUGUAGCUCGAUUUAAACCUGGGCUUCAAGGAAGAUUCCUCCUAGCUUGAGGAAGACCAUGCCACCAACAGUCGUGAAAGGGGAAGUCAGUCCACCCAAUUCUUUUGCCCUAGGUUCAGUUCAAUUGGUGAUUUAUUUUAAAUAAUAUCUUUCUUUUUAUGCCAAUAAAUACAGGAAAAUGCAACUUGGACGAUUUGAAUGUCAGUUUAUGGGCAGAAAUCCGUUUUCAUCCAAAACUAUCACGAGGGGUUUGAACCUUAGCAUUUCUGCUUCCUUAUUAAUAUUAAUAUUAAUAUUAA